Callithrix jacchus (white-tufted-ear marmoset) is the source of this 3416-nucleotide non-coding RNA. The record is from RefSeq and is a predicted model, not a curated record. NCBI's taxonomy places the organism in Eukaryota, Metazoa, Chordata, Mammalia, Primates, Cebidae.
UGGAGCAGAGUUGGCUUGCUUCAGUGCCCGCUGGGUAGCCAGGAGACAAGGUUUCAACACGAGGAUCUUGUUGGACUACCCCUCAGAGGGCCCAAAGCAACCUGGGGCAGCUGUGUGACUCUCCCCUGUCCGGUGGCCCUGCCCUGCUGAGCGCAGGUGCCUCCCAAGCCCUGACUUCCACACAGUGCUGGUGUUUUCUGUUCCAGGGACGAUGACUCAGCAGCUUCUUUCCUACCAGGAAGUCUUUUCCCUUUGUUUCUGGUUUUCUGAUGAACUUCAAAGCCGCCUUAGGGUAAUUACAAGAAAGAGAAUUGAAAGCUGGUCAAAGUUCAAGCAAAGGCGAUUGAAGUGAUUCAAAGUGAAAAAUCCUCUGAGUCAGAGAUUGGCAGGACGUUCCUUGGUGUUCUGUGUGCGACACACAGCUUCAACCUCGCCUGGCCCCCAAGGCCCAAUCUGACCUUGCUCCGCCACUUUCAGCUGUUACGACUCUCCACAACCUGCCCUAGGGCCUCUGCCUACUUUGCCAGAUUCACUCUACAAGAAACACUAAGUUUGACACCUAGCGGAGCAGGCAUCCAGCAAAUUUCAGAGCACAUUGUGUGAAAAGCAAUAGAAAAAUGAUUUGUAUGUAGUGACUGCACCUUGAGAAAACGAGCAAAAUUCAAGAACUCUCUGUAGUUAGUAGUGAGAACCCUGAAACAAGAACCAAGUAUUACAGAGGAGGCUGCACAGGGCAAGGCCCGUGGCACACACCAGGGAAUUUCUGUUUCUUGGAAGAAAUGGCAUUGAAACAAAAGUAAUGCCCUCAGUCACCCUGGGAGGGGCAGUUAGAGAGCACAGCACACAGAAGAAACUCCUGUCUAGUGCUGGUUUCUACCUAAUGUCAUCUUGGUAUGUUUUGUGUAACACAGCAGUCUGUGUCUCUCUCACUGCAGCUGCUUUCUGAUGGUCUCAACAAAGCCCUUUACUCUCCUUACAAAGCCUCCACCAUAAAGAAAAUACUUGCAGGGUGCUCUCCACGGCACCUGGACUGCAGGAGACACUGCUGUGGUUAAAACUGCCUGGCAGAAUGAAAUGAAUCAGCUCAAUGGAUCUUCAGUGAUCAGCGAAUCGUCUUAACCAGGCUUACUUGUGCCGGCUGAUGUUUCAUAUUCUAUUAUUCUCAAAACGCAGUCACGUAAUUCUGUCUGAAAGCACAGGGAUCUAACGUUCUGGAUAACCUAAGAAAGUAAGGGUGGCAGGUGAGCAAUUUCCACCUGGAUUUUCAAAAUAUUGAAGUAAUGAAUAGAUUUCUGACAUUACUUUUGAGGAUCUUAAAUAUCCUGGAAACUCAGGUGUGAAGUGUCUCUUUUAGCAGGUGUAUUAUUCUGAAUGAAUGGACUCCCCGAAGCGGCCCCCAGCCCCCUCCGCAGUGGCCUCACGAGCACUUCACCCCGAGGUUGGUGCCUUACCAGGUUUGCGGUGGGUUCCUGCCAUUGCUUUGUGCCCCUCCCCCACUGUCUUUCCCCCACUUCUAUCCACAGGAGCUGUAACGUGCAUGUAACUUAGAGGCUUGCACAGGGCAAGGCUGAUGGUUGAGAGGCUUUGCCGUUCGUGCCAAACCCUUGCAAGAGGGGUGACUCACACAGAGCUUAGCAAAUACCAGCAUAUCAGAGUCUGAUCCGAAAGCAGCACUGGGAUUUUUGUUUUAAGACAGCUUUUCUCUAAAUUUCUUUAGCAAAGGAAUUUGUUUCUUCCUGAGUAUUAACUAUCAGACACAUCAACUCUCAGACCUGCCACUGCUUUCUUCACAGGUCAUAAAAUAGAGUCAAAUAGACCUGAGGUCCCACAUAGGUCAACAUCCUCAAUUUAAAAAUGGAGAAAUUAAGCCCAGUAAAAGUUAACUAACCUGUGCAAAGCCACCCAGUUGGUUAGAACGGGCAGUAUAACUAGGGGGGCCAUACAUAUCAUCCUCCAAAGUAAGACAUCUUUGAGAGUGAAGGCCAGUGUUAGUAAUCAUGCCACGGCCAGGCGUGGUGGCUCAUGGGUGAAAUUCCAGCUGGGAGGCCGAGAUGGGCUAAUCACCUGAGGAGUUUCAGACCAGCCUGGCCAAAGUGGUGGAACCUAUUUUGAAAAUACAAAAAUACAGGAGCAUGGUGGCGAGCGCCUGUCAUCCCAGCUACUCGGGAGUCUGAGGCACAAGAAUCGCUUGAACCCAGGAGGCGGAGAUUGCAGUGAGCCAAGAUUGUGCCACUGCACUCCAGCCUGGGUGACAGAGUGAGACUUUGUUUCAAAAAAAAAAAAAAAAAAUCACACCCGGAUAACAGACGUAAGUUGGACUGUCCAGGCAAACAAGGAUAUGUGAACCUCCUGACCCUAAUCAGACCUUCUGCAUCUUACAGUCAGUCUACGUGAACACCAGUUAGUAGAAAUAGCUGCAAAUGCUUUUGUACAAUGAUGAGUAUUGAAAAUUAAAAUGGCUUCUGAUGGAAAAAAUAAAUGUUUUUAUAGUUUGCAGCUGACAAAAUAUUUUACUGUUUAUGCAAUUUACUGUAAUAAGUCUAGAAUCCAUUCUUCCUUUGCAAACUAAUGUUUUGCAUUAACGUAACUAGAACAAAACAAGGCAAUUAAAUAAAGAUGUCAGUUUUCAAAUCCCUCAGUUUAAAUUUAAAAAGGCAAAUAAUUCAUCCAUCAAGAAUUGGAAUUGAAUAAUUUUGAAAGAAACUUUUAAUUUAGCUUUCAAAUUAGAUUCACGGACUUGCCAUUAUUUGUAUGUGAAAAUAGAUGUCAAGUUCACUAAUAAGAAUUAUAAACACUAUAAUUAAAUUUUUCAUUAUGGAGUGAAACUAAAACAUGAAACCAUGUUGUUAUAAUCAAAAUCUGGGUAAUGCGUUUUUAAUGCAUUUCAUUUAAAGAAGUAGCUGAAAAGCAGAGAUGUUAAUAAUUUACCAAGAAAAUAAAAAUAAAAAUCAGUUGAAAAGCUUCUCUGGGUUACCUAAUGUCAGAUACUCUGCCAGUUUUUGGGAAUUCUAAUAUGGAAGAGUAAAGUUUCUGGUUUUGAGGAACUUAUAUAAAAUGUGGUUGGAAAAAAUAUUGCAUAAAGCUUGAAAAAAAUUUACACCUGAGAGAACCACGCAGGCUGUCAGUUUCUAGGGAGUGGGGCUGCUGGACAACUUUUAGAUGGAAGGAAGAGCACAGGAAGUGGAGAGAGAGGGAAACUGAGUUGCAGGAGUGCGUGGGUGGGAGUGGGGUCCCGGAAGAGCAUGGGGUUAGGUCGACAGGGGAAUGCAUCACCACAAACACAGUCUUGAAACUUCAACGUGAAAGUGCUUAGGCUAAGCAAGGAAAUGGUUUGGGCUCCACCAGGCCCAGGGCAUUUCUGCCCUUAUUACUUUCUGCAUACAUAGGUAUCAUGGACAUAUUUUUUUUUUUUUACA